Molecule: ribosomal RNA, 468 nt
Filed under: uncultured bacterium
Lineage: Bacteria
Description: partial 16S ribosomal RNA
Rfam family: Bacterial small subunit ribosomal RNA
Source: RNAcentral
GACGAACGCUGGCGGCGUGCUUAACACAUGCAAGUCGAACGGAAAGGCCCUGCUUUUGUGGGGUGCUCGAGUGGCGAACGGGUGAGUAACACGUGAGUAACCUGCCCUUGACUGUGGGAUAACUUCAGGAAACUGGGGCUAAUACCGGAUAGGAGCUCCUGCUGCAUGGUGGGGGUUGGAAAGUUUCGGCGGUUGGGGAUGGACUCGCGGCUUAUCAGCUUGUUGGUGGGGUAGUGGCUUACCAAGGCUUUGACGGGUAGCCGGCCUGAGAGGGUGACCGGCCACAUUGGGACUGGGAUACGGCCCAGACUCCUACGGGAGGCAGCAGGGGGGAAUAUUGCACAAUGGGCGGAAGCCUGAUGCAGCAACGCCGCGUGCGGGAUGACGGCCUUCGGGUUGUAAACCGCUUUCGCCUGUAACGAAGCGUGAGUGACGGUAAUGGGUAAAGAAGCACCGGCUAACUACGUG